Molecule: non-coding RNA, 93 nt
Organism: Gadus chalcogrammus (walleye pollock)
Lineage: Eukaryota; Metazoa; Chordata; Actinopteri; Gadiformes; Gadidae
Source: the annotation of a RefSeq genome assembly
GUCAGGAUGGCCGAGUGGUCUAAGGCGUCAGACUCAAGAUCUGAGGUUUCUGGUCUCCAACUGGAGGCGUGGGUUCAAAUCCCACUUCUGACA